Molecule: ribosomal RNA, 460 nt
Filed under: uncultured bacterium
Lineage: Bacteria
Description: partial 16S ribosomal RNA
Rfam family: Bacterial small subunit ribosomal RNA
Source: RNAcentral
CCUACGGGUGGCAGCAGUGAGGAAUAUUGGUCAAUGGACGCAAGUCUGAACCAGCCAAGUCGCGUGCAGGAUGACGGCUCUAUGGGUUGUAAACUUCUUUUAUACGGGGAUAAACUGUGCUACGUGUCUCGUGUUGUAUGUACCGUAUGAAUAAGGAUCGGCUAACUCCGUGCCAGCAGCCGCGGUAAUACGGAGGAUCCGAGCGUUAUCCGGAUUUAUUGGGUUUAAAGGGUGCGUAGGCGGUUUGUUAAGUUAGUGGUGAAAUGUUGUGGCUCAACCCCGAAAUUGCCGUUAAAACUGGUGGACUAGAGUAUAGUUGCGGUAGGCGGAAUGCGUGGUGUAGCGGUGAAAUGCUUAGAGAUCACACAGAACACCGAUUGCGAAGGCAGCUUACCAAACUAUAACUGACGUUGAGGCACGAAAGCGUGGGUAUCAAACAGGAUUAGAUACCCCAGUAGUC